Molecule: long non-coding RNA, 634 nt
Organism: Salvelinus sp. IW2-2015
Lineage: Eukaryota; Metazoa; Chordata; Actinopteri; Salmoniformes; Salmonidae
Exons: 3
Source: RefSeq, a predicted model, not a curated record
UAGAGCAGUUACUAGCUAACCUCCUGUCAACUGAGGGCGAGAAUGUCUCUCCUURGUCUUUUAAUUUCCAGUUGUUUGGAAUUUCCAGUCUGUUUUUGAAAUAAGGUUGCUACAGGCGCCUCGCCUAGGGAUCCAUGGCCAGGCAGCUGUAAUAUCUGAUAGAAUAACACCUUGAGGACUUUGACUGACCGAGAGAAGGUGGAUGACAGCUAAACUUCACUGCCUCCUACUGGGCCUGCUGUGGUCCAGAGCUCGUCAUACGAUCAGCAAGAAGACAAUCCUAUACAACAAGAUGUUAUUGAGAAGGAACGUGUUAUUACACAGGUAUAAGAGUAACUGUGGAGUGUUACUGAAUAUUCUUAAGACAUUGGGAAUGAAACAGUCCAGAUUUCCAAUAGAUUUUCACCUUAAUAGGAUAACAGGUGUACCAUUGUGUGGAAAUGUGAAUCCCACCCCCCUCUCCCUGACAAUACUGAGAUGGUUAUGCUCUCUUUUUGGGGCCUCGGAAUGUGAAAUGACAUAUCAAAGCAGAAUGUGAAAUUUGCCAUCUACUGCUCUCUCGUCAUUUAUCCCAAACCAUACAAUGGAUACAUCUUCCCUACAAACAGCUGAUCUUUGCCCUGCAUUUGCCCCU